Myotis daubentonii (Daubenton's bat) is the source of this 187-nucleotide long non-coding RNA. RefSeq lists it as uncharacterized. The record is from RefSeq and is a predicted model, not a curated record. Lineage: Eukaryota; Metazoa; Chordata; Mammalia; Chiroptera; Vespertilionidae. The transcript has 4 exons.
GCUGGCACUCCUGGAACAGGAUCCAGACCAGGCGCCACUGCAUUGCCACCAGGCCAAGCAACUGGGAGUGUGACAGGCACCAGUGGUCCAGCUGUUGGCACAACUGUUGCACCUGGCAGUUCCAACACAGAAGCCACAACUUCCACAGGAGGCAGUAAGGCUACACAGGGAAGAUUGCCAGGAGGUA